ACCACUGAAAGAGUUUUGGCUGGA
RNAcentral lists this non-coding RNA (24 nucleotides) under Arabidopsis thaliana (thale cress). The record is from RNAcentral. Lineage: Eukaryota; Viridiplantae; Streptophyta; Magnoliopsida; Brassicales; Brassicaceae.